Long non-coding RNA from Ictalurus punctatus (channel catfish), 1031 nucleotides. NCBI's taxonomy places the organism in Eukaryota, Metazoa, Chordata, Actinopteri, Siluriformes, Ictaluridae. The record is from Ensembl.
GUCAUGUAUUUCACGUAUGUGUAUAACUUAUUAGUCUUGCAGAUCUGACAUAACGCCGCAGUGAAAAAGCAGGAGGGGAGGCAGCCAGUACCUCUGCCUUACUGAAGGGGGCGUGUGUGAGCAUACGGGCUUGUUCUGCUAUUGUUCUUCUUCAUGUAUUACAGACAAAUGGCAUUCAAAAAUGGAAGAUUAUAUAUAUAAGUGACAACGAGUGACAAUGUCUGGACUACAACUGGAUUUUGUGACUUGAAAAAUAUACCAAGAAACCUCAGCAGACAUGAAAGUUCAACUACUCACAUUCAAAGUCAAAUUGAUUGAAAAACUUUUGGAAGCGCAAGGAUAGAUUUGGCUUUGAACAAACAGUGGAGACUAAAUAUUAGCGUCCACAAUGCUAAGGUAAAGGAAAACCGAGAGGCUUUAAAAGACCUCAUUAAUGCAGCUUGCUUCCUAGCCAAACAGCAAUUAGCAUUUCGUGGUAAUGAUGAGAGUAUGACCUCUUCUAAUCGUGGCAACUAUGUAGAACUUUUACAUGCUUCAGCUGAGAAAGAAGAUAGGUUAGCUAGACAUUUGGAGACAUCCACUGUGUUUUCUGGCUUAUCAAACAGAAUUCAGAACGAUUUAAUUGAAGCAAUAAGUGAUGUGAUUAGAAAUUAUAUAAAAAAGGAGAUUAAAGCAGCCCUAUUUGUUGCUGUAGAAGUAGAUGAGACAACGGAUGUCACAAACAAUGCCCAGAUCUCUUUCAUUUUGCGUUAUGUGGCUAAAAGUGAGGUGGCCUGUGAAGUGAGGGAGGCAUUUUUGGGAUUUGAUGAUUACACUACAUUUAUUCAUUUAGCAGAUGUUUUUAUCCAAAGUGACUUACAAAUGAGAAAAAUACAAGCAAAGCGAUAUAUCAAAAAGAAAACAAUACAAGUAGUGAUACCAUACAAGAUCCAUUAAUUGAGUUCCAGAAGAAGCAAAGUGCACAGAGUAGAGGUGUAAGUGCAAAUUUGUUUGUUUGUUUAUUUAUUUAUUUAUUUUAAUGAUUUGGUUAG